This 396-nucleotide ribosomal RNA is filed under the name uncultured bacterium. RNAcentral's name for it is "partial 16S ribosomal RNA". It matches the Rfam family "Bacterial small subunit ribosomal RNA", at positions 523 to 918 of the family's 1533-position model. The record is from RNAcentral.
AUACGUAGGGGGCAAGCGUUAUCCGGAUUUACUGGGUGUAAAGGGAGCGUAGACGGCAAAGCAAGUCUGAAGUGAAAGCCCCGGGCUCAACCCGGGAAUUGCUUUGGAAACUGUUUAGCUAGAGUGCAGGAGAGGUAAGCGGAAUUCCUAGUGUAGCGGUGAAAUGCGUAGAUAUUAGGAGGAACACCGGCGGCGAAGGCGGCUUACUGGACUGUAACUGACGUUGAGGCUCGAAAGCGUGGGGAGCAAACAGGAUUAGAUACCCUGGUAGUCCACGCUGUAAACGAUGAAUACUAGGUGUGGGGGGACUGACCCCCUCCGUGCCGCAGUUAACACAAUAAGUAUUCCACCUGGGGAGUACGAUCGCAAGAUUGAAACUCAAAGGAAUUGACGGGG